RNAcentral lists this non-coding RNA (623 nucleotides) under Linnemannia elongata AG-77. RNAcentral's name for it is "Mortierella elongata AG-77 Eukaryotic large subunit ribosomal RNA". It matches the Rfam family "Eukaryotic large subunit ribosomal RNA", at positions 2621 to 3399 of the family's 3401-position model. Lineage: Eukaryota; Fungi; Mortierellomycota; Mortierellomycetes; Mortierellales; Mortierellaceae. The record is from Rfam by way of RNAcentral.
AAGAUUUUGUGAAGAGGAAAAAGAUCCUUCAGAUCAUAAGACUUGAUGACAAAUCACUGACUUGUGGCAGCCAAGCGUUCAUAGCGACGUUGCUUUUUGAUCCUUCGAUGUCGGCUCUUCUUAUCAUACUGAAACAGAAUUCAGUAAGCGUUGGAUUGUUCACCCACUAAUAGGCACCGUGAGCUGGGUUUAGACCUUCGUGAGACAGGUUAGUUUUACCCUACUGAUGAAAUGUUGUUGCAAUAGUAAUUGAACUUAGUACGAGAGAAACCGUUCAUUCGGAUAAUUGGUAUUUGGGCCUGCCUGAGCAGGCAAUGGCCCGAAGCUAUCAUCCGUUGGGUUAUGGCUGAACGCCUCUAAGUCAGAACCCGUGUUAGAACGCGACGAUUACCGCCUUUUCCGAUUUUUAGUUGAAUACGAAUAGAUCCUCGGAUCCUGAAUCAUACUACGUGGGAUUAUCUUGCAGAGCGGAAAGGUUUUGUGAGGUUCCUGCUAAUGUUAAUUUCAAAUACUGGAAGAAAUAAAUCUAUUGCAGACGACUUUAAUUGAACGGGGUAUUGUAAGCAGUAGAGUAGCCUUGUUGUUACGAUCUGUUGAGAUUAAGCCCAUUGUUCUAUAGAUUU